This 270-nucleotide long non-coding RNA is filed under the name Daucus carota (carrot). Its description in RNAcentral is "long non-coding RNA (DCAR_LNC005758)". Lineage: Eukaryota; Viridiplantae; Streptophyta; Magnoliopsida; Apiales; Apiaceae. The record is from RNAcentral.
AUUUUAAUGAUAUAAUAUUGUAUAUGGUCAUUAAGAAAGAAAAAAAAUAGUAUAAGUAGAAUUUUAAUGAAGUCAUUGAAGUUAGCAGUUAAAUUAGAAUUUUACCUCGAGAGCAGGGUAACUUUUACAAUUUUCAAUGCCAUUAUUUUCAAUGCAAGUAUUUAUUUCUAUUAACAUGAUUAUGAUAUUAGUAUUUUUUUAGAAUUUAUAUAACUUAUUUAAGAUAACAUUUAAAAAUUAUUAAAGUGUAUAAUAUUUUUUAAUUUUUUU